RNAcentral lists this ribosomal RNA (693 nucleotides) under uncultured archaeon. Its description in RNAcentral is "bacterial SSU rRNA". It matches the Rfam family "Archaeal small subunit ribosomal RNA", at positions 49 to 748 of the family's 1478-position model. The record is from RNAcentral.
CCAUGCGAGUUGAGAGGGUUCGGCCCUCGGCAGACCGCUCAGUAACACGUGGUGAACCUGCCCUAGGGUGGAGGAUAAUCUCGGGAAACUGAGGAUAAUACUCCAUAGCCCACCUCUGCUGGAAUGCUUGGUGGGCCAAAGAUUCAUCGCCCUAGGAUGGCACUGCGAUCUAUCAGGUUGUAGGGAGGGUAACGGCCUCCCUAGCCUACGACGGAUACGGGCGUUGAGAGACGUCGCCCGGAGAUGAACUCUGAGACACGAGUUCAGGCCCUACGGGGCGCAGCAGGCGCGAAAACUGCACAAUGGUGGAAACACCGAUGCGGGAACUCCAAGUGCCGGCACUAAGUGUCGGCUGUUCCAUUGUCUAAAAAACAUAGGAAGUAAGGGCUGGGUAAGACGGGUGCCAGCCGCCGCGGUAAUACCUGCAGCCCGAGUGGUGGCCGUUAUUAUUGGGCCUAAAACGUCCGUAGCCGGUUGGGUAGAUGCCUGUGUAAAUCGAACGGCUUAACCGUUCGAAAUGCGGGUAGACCGCCCGACUAGGGACCGGGAGAGUCACGAAGUACUCCGGGGGUAGAGGUGAAAUUCCGUAAUCCUCGGGGGACUACCGGUGGCGAAGGCGUCGUGAUAGAACGGCUCCGACGGUGAGGGACGAAGCCCUGGGGCGCAAACCGGAUUAGAUACCCGGGUAGUCCC